AACUUUGAGCGGUGGAUCACUCGGCUCGUG
RNAcentral lists this ribosomal RNA (30 nucleotides) under Oxychilus uziellii. RNAcentral's name for it is "partial 5.8S ribosomal RNA". The record is from RNAcentral. Lineage: Eukaryota; Metazoa; Mollusca; Gastropoda; Stylommatophora; Oxychilidae.